CAUACAUAUUUUGUUCUCCAGGUCCUCGUGUGAUGUUCCUCUGCUCUUGAGGAGCAAAAUUACCAUGAUAUCCUUGGUUGAAAUUCCUCUGAUUUGAAGGCAUUGGAUCUCUACGUUCUCCUUGAUAACCAUCCCUUACCGCAGAUUGUGCAUAGUUUCCCUGUUCUCCUUGUCCGAAGUCUCUCCUUUCUCCUGAAGGAACAGAGUUUCUACCUCCAGGGGCAUCAUAACCCCUUCCAUAUUGCCCAGGCUGACUAUUGCCCUGCUGUGGAGCAUAGUUUGGUCCACCUCCUUGCAUCGAACCCCAUUGCUCAUUUGGUGGAUUUCCUUGUGGAGGUGGUCUGUUAUAAUUUGGAUUUCCUUGUGGAGGUGGUCUGUUAUAAUUUGGAUUUCCUUGUGGAGGUGGUCUGUUAUAAUUUGGCCGGUCAUAUCUGUUUUGAUUCCGUUCUCUACCUUGCCUACCAUAUUGAAUUGGAGGAGGCCUUGGAGUAAUAACCCCGUUCUCAUACUUGUCACCUGAAUAUAAGAAGGAAAUGUACCAGAAAAGAAGCUAUGUUUUAAAAGAAAAGAAAUUAUAACAUACAAAUAAACUCAGAACAUCUGAAUAUGGUCACAUUAAACUGUAAGCAUUGCAAAAAUGCUAAACAUGUGCAACUUGACACAUCCUUAGUUACUGUGAUACUCUGAUAGGUUGCAAAGAUACAAGAAACGAAGUUUAGAAGGAAACGUACAGACCUCCAUACUCCUUAUUGACAGGAUCAAUAUACGAGUCUGGCAAUAUGAAGACAACACCAGGCAAACCUAAUUUCAUUAUAGCAAAAAUUGUAAGUCCUAAUUCUCAUAUAAGACCCUCCAAAUGAGUCCACAGGAAGGAACCAACUACACAAGCUUACCGCGAAACUUUUCUGACAUUUCCUCAGUCAUUACAGCCUGAAAACCAUGGUAAGUUGUGGUGCUAAGUGCAUACAUCCUUUUCUUGGCUUCUUCAACACUGCAAAUAACAACCAAUGUUUACUGCAAGAUAUCCAUCUCACUCAAACACAUGAAGCAUCAAGAAGAUGCUUCAAAUAUACAGUCAUGUAAAGAAGAUCAAAACAAAUAUAAUAAAAGGAACUAAUUUUCCAAAGUGCAAAGGAAAAAAAAGGAUCCAGAAGUCUUUGCCAAGAAGACAUUUGUAGAAUAUACACCAACAUGUGACGAUCCAAGAUUCUAAAAUAAACUAGAACAAACCUAGCAUCCCGUGAAAGGAGCUGUCACCCUCCUCAAACCAGACUCACUUGUUAUGCCAAAUAUACCCAAGUAAACUGAAAGACAUCACUACAGUCUUUCUGGUCCCUGCAACUUGGAUCUUGUAUGAUUUAAGGUGCUCCCAAUUGGCUAUCCACCUGCUGUAAAACUCUAAUUUAUAGCAACUAUCUAUCCUCUUUCCUUGUUCCUUCUAUCUGAAUCUUAAAUCAUCCUACUGUCUAUAAGCCAGCUCCAAUAUUACCUCUCUAUCUUCUACCUCUCCUCUAACUUCGAACAAAGCACCUAAUCACUUCAGGUCCGUCAUCUCCGGGCACCGAAUCAUAAUAUUCUACCCAAUAAACUAACGAAAAAAAUUGACCAACGAAUGAAGGUUAGUUUCAUCUUUUUUGGAUUAUAGAUAGCAAAAUUGUUAUUUAUUCAUCCUCAAUUAUGGGAAACAAGGUAGGAAAAUAAUUGUAACCAGAGUGAAGAUGGAGCUGCCGAAGACCACCUUGUCCGAUCCCUUCUCGUAUCUCCUAAGCAACUCUUGACCAUGAUGUUCACUCUCCAGUCCUAUACAGUCUUGAAUAGCAUUUAUGUUCCCAGGAUAGCGUGCCACUUCUAUAAUCGGACCAGGAAAAGCCAAGUACAAGUACAUGUUUCUAAGUAUAGACAAACUUUGUAGGACUAUCAUCAAAGACUAAUCAUUCUCAAGAACUUUGCUAACAUCACUCGAAGAAACUUCUUUUCUAACCGUUCUCUAAAAGGAAACCAAUCUCAGGUUUGAUCUUUUACCUGCCGACAACCGUUGCUAGUGUUUGGAUGUAGGUCUCGAUCAUCUCUUCACGGCUUGGUGCGGGGUCCUUGGG
This 2096-nucleotide long non-coding RNA is filed under the name Musa acuminata (dwarf banana). RNAcentral describes it as "long non-coding RNA (MACU_LNC000371)". Lineage: Eukaryota; Viridiplantae; Streptophyta; Magnoliopsida; Zingiberales; Musaceae. The record is from RNAcentral.